RNAcentral lists this long non-coding RNA (374 nucleotides) under Manihot esculenta (cassava). RNAcentral describes it as "long non-coding RNA (MESC_LNC007806)". The record is from RNAcentral. Lineage: Eukaryota; Viridiplantae; Streptophyta; Magnoliopsida; Malpighiales; Euphorbiaceae.
GCUUUUGGGCAUCCUUAGUCAGCAUUUUGGACAGGUGUUAUGUCCACCUUGUUGCCAGAAGCUUGGCCACGUCUCCCAUGAUUUAUUUGCUGAGUUUGAGCAGAUCAUGUAGGAGUUUGCUAGUGUUCAAGAGAUUGUGAGAGUGUUGAAGCAAAAGUUAAGCUUUUGAGAGUUAGUACGGUUGAAGACGAGUUGAUCUGUUUUCCUUGGAUUUAGAACGUUCAUCUUCCUGUUUAUAGAGGUAAGGGAAGAUCUGGACCUUGUUAUAUGGUUUCUGAAGGUUUUAUGGGGAUAAAGGAAGGAGAUGCAUGCUUAGGGUAUUAAUGAUAGUUUUGAUGUUUUAUGCAUGUAUACAUGUUUAUGUGUUAUGUUUG